RNAcentral lists this long non-coding RNA (1253 nucleotides) under Anolis carolinensis (green anole). RNAcentral's name for it is "lncRNA (ENSACAG00000033366.1)". The record is from RNAcentral. Lineage: Eukaryota; Metazoa; Chordata; Lepidosauria; Squamata; Anolidae.
GCGGGCCGGCGGAGGCGAGGGCAAGGGCUCCGGCGCGGUCCGGGUCCGGUCUCGGGCGUCUCGGGGCGGCCGGAGGAGGAGGAGGAAGCGCCGGCGCGCGGCUCUGCGACCGGGAGGGGAGCAAACUCUUUGGAUCUUUAUUCUGCUAAUUAGUUUCCUGCAAAAAAUGGCUGAUUAGUGCAGUGCGCAUGUGCCUCAUUACCCAGGCACGACGGGAAGGGCUAAUUAGCCACCUUCUGGAUCAAUAAGAUUCAGCCCAGGCGGCGGCCGCGGAGGGAGGGAGGGGGGAGGAGGCGGGGAGGAAGCGCCGCCGCGAGGGAGGGGGAGGGGGAGGGAGAGGGGUUCGCAGCCCCCCCUCGCGCAUUCCAGCGGCCUCCCGCUCCGCCCCGCCUCCCCCUUCCCUGCCUCCCUCCCUCCUUCCUCGCCUCCCUCCUCCUCCUCGGCCACGGGACCGGACUCUGGCGGCGGGAAGUUGCCGGGAAAGUUGCCGCUCGGCAAAAGGAGGCGGCGGAGACCAACUUGGCCGCGGCUCCGGUCCCGAUCCCUGCCAGGAGGGAAGCCGAGAGGGGCCGGGAGCUUCGCCGGGAGCCCUGGCUUGGAACAGGCCUGAAAAGGAAGCGGCCGCCCGGCUCCAGGGAGGCUCGGGGUCCCGGCCUCCAGGAAGAGGGGCGACUUUUCAACCUCCUUGGGAUCGCCUGCCUGCCUGCCUUCUUGCCUGGAGACGUCUUCUCCUGCUGGAAGACCCCUCCCUCAGCCAGGCCGGGCCAGGGAAAGUCGCAGGCUGGGCAGGCGACUCUCCCCGGGAGGCCUGCAUCCUCUGCCUGGCGCUGCGGCCACUGCCACGGGGCGAGGGCCCAUCGAGGCAACUCCCGAGCCCCCUCCUCCUGGCCCUGGGCCUUUCCCCCUGGAGGUGGGCGGCCGGGGCCGGAGGGGACCCGCGCUGGCUGAAUGGCGCUUCGGAGGCUGAUUGCACGGCCCCUCCGUCCUCCAAGGCCCUGGCCGUGUUUACACCUGGGGACCUUUUUCCUGGAAGCAGACCGGCAGGAAAGGAGGCGCAUCCGCCGAAGAGACCCAAGGGGCCCGUUGCCAGCAGCGCUUCCCGGCUCAGAAGAGCUCGAGGGCCGCAGUCAUCGGCGCCUUCCACACCACAACCUCAGGCGAAGAAAGGCCUCUUCUACAUUGCUGAGCCUGGAACUUGCGGAGCGGGGCCUCCUCUUCGGCUGGAAGGAUGGCUUGCACCCUGGGACUCCUGA